This 220-nucleotide long non-coding RNA is filed under the name Anas platyrhynchos platyrhynchos (common mallard). RNAcentral describes it as "lncRNA (ENSAPLG00000028143.1)". The record is from RNAcentral. Lineage: Eukaryota; Metazoa; Chordata; Aves; Anseriformes; Anatidae.
CAGACUAAAUAAAAUUUCAUUUUGAUUUGGCCUCCCGCUGAGAAUGGGACUGCUUUGUUUCAGCCGACAGAACCAGCAAGCCAGAAAGGACUUUAGGACUCCAGGGCAACUACUGAGGGAUAAUAUUACCAGGGUCAUUGUGGUAGAGGAAAUAUUUUUAUAUGGGCGUCAGGAAACGGUGGUCUGGCUAGUGACUGCAGUGGUGUGGAUGGUUACAUGA